Molecule: ribosomal RNA, 497 nt
Filed under: uncultured bacterium
Lineage: Bacteria
Description: partial 16S ribosomal RNA
Rfam family: Bacterial small subunit ribosomal RNA
Source: RNAcentral
GAUGAACGCUGGCGGCGUGCCUAAUACAUGCAAGUCGAGCGAACAGACGAGGAGCUUGCUCCUCUGACGUUAGCGGCGGACGGGUGAGUAACACGUGGAUAACCUACCUAUAAGACUGGGAUAACUUCGGGAAACCGUAGCUAAUACCGGAUAAUAUAUUGAACCGCAUGGUUCAAUAGUGAAAGACGGUUUUGCUGUCACUUAUAGAUGUAUCCGCGCCGCAUUAGCUAGUUGGUAAGGUAACGGCUUACCAAGGCAACGAUGCGUAGCCGACCUGAGAGGGUGAUCGGCCACACUGGAACUGAGACACGGUCCAGACUCCUACGGGAGGCAGCAGUAGGGAAUCUUCCGCAAUGGGCGAAAGCCUGACGGAGCAACGCCGCGUGAGUGAUGAAGGUCUUCGGAUCGUAAAACUCUGUUAUUAGGGAAGAACAAAUGUGUAAGUAAAUAUGCACGUCUUGACGGUACCUAAUCAGAAAGCCACGGCUAACUACGUG